This 103-nucleotide microRNA precursor is filed under the name Marmota monax (woodchuck). The record is from RNAcentral. Lineage: Eukaryota; Metazoa; Chordata; Mammalia; Rodentia; Sciuridae.
AGUGGGAUAACUGGGUCAAAUGGUGGUUCCAUUCCAAGUUUUCUGAGGAAUCUCCUUACUGCUUUCUAGAGUGGUUGCACCAACUUUCAUUCCCACCAGCAAU